GACGAACGCUGGCGGCGUGCCUAACACAUGCAAGUCGAACGGAGCUAAUUAGAGGAAGUUUUCGGAUGGAAUUGGUUUAGCUUAGUGGCGGACGGGUGAGUAACACGUGAGCAACCUGCCUUUCAGAGGGGGAUAACGUUUGGAAACGAACGCUAAUACCGCAUAACGUACCGAUAGGGCAUCCUAAUGGUACCAAAGGAGCAAUCCGCUGAAAGAUGGGCUCGCGUCCGAUUAGAUAGUUGGUGAGGUAACGGCCCACCAAGUCUGCGAUCGGUAGCCGGACUGAGAGGUUGAACGGCCACAUUGGGGACUGAGACACGGGCCCAGACUCCUACGGGAGGCAGCAGUGGGGGAUAUUGCACAAUGGGGGAAACCCUGAUGCAGCGACGUCGCGUGAGGGAAGAC
This 405-nucleotide ribosomal RNA is filed under the name uncultured bacterium. RNAcentral describes it as "bacterial SSU rRNA". It matches the Rfam family "Bacterial small subunit ribosomal RNA", at positions 28 to 412 of the family's 1533-position model. The record is from RNAcentral.